Molecule: ribosomal RNA, 1380 nt
Filed under: uncultured bacterium
Lineage: Bacteria
Description: 16S ribosomal RNA
Rfam family: Bacterial small subunit ribosomal RNA
Source: RNAcentral
UUCGCCCUUAGAGUUUGAUCCUGGCUCAGGACGAACGCUGGCGGCGCGCCUAACACAUGCAAGUCGAACGGAGCUUAGAGAGCUUGCUUUUUAAGCUUAGUGGCGAACGGGUGAGUAACGCGUGAGUAACCUGCCCUAGAGUGGGGGACAACAGUUGGAAACGACUGCUAAUACCGCAUAAGCCCACGGUACCGCAUGGUACUGAGGGAAAAGGAUUUAUUCGCUUUAGGAUGGACUCGCGUCCAAUUAGCUAGUUGGUGAGGUAACGGCCCACCAAGGCGACGAUUGGUAGCCGGACUGAGAGGUUGAACGGCCACAUUGGGACUGAGACACGGCCCAGACUCCUACGGGAGGCAGCAGUGGGGAAUAUUGCACAAUGGGGGAAACCCUGAUGCAGCAACGCCGCGUGAAGGAAGACGGUUUUCGGAUUGUAAACUUCUGUUCUUAGUGAAGAAUAAUGACGGUAGCUAAGGAGCAAGCCACGGCUAACUACGUGCCAGCAGCCGCGGUAAUACGUAGGUGGCAAGCGUUGUCCGGAAUUACUGGGUGUAAAGGGAGCGUAGGCGGGAUGCCAAGUCAGCUGUGAAAACUAUGGGCUUAACCCGUAGACUGCAGUUGAAACUGGUAUUCUUGAGUGAAGUAGAGGUUGGCGGAAUUCCGAGUGUAGCGGUGAAAUGCGUAGAUAUUCGGAGGAACACCGGUGGCGAAGGCGGCCAACUGGGCUUUAACUGACGCUGAGGCUCGAAAGUGUGGGUAGCAAACAGGAUUAGAUACCCUGGUAGUCCACACCGUAAACGAUGAUUACUAGGUGUUGGAGGAUUGACCCCUUCAGUGCCGCAGUUAACACAAUAAGUAAUCCACCUGGGGAGUACGACCGCAAGGUUGAAACUCAAAGGAAUUGACGGGGGCCCGCACAAGCAGUGGAGUAUGUGGUUUAAUUCGACGCAACGCGAAGAACCUUACCAAGUCUUGACAUCCUGCGACGAUGCCGGAAACAGUAUUUUCCUUCGGGACGCAGAGACAGGUGGUGCAUGGUUGUCGUCAGCUCGUGUCGUGAGAUGUUGGGUUAAGUCCCGCAACGAGCGCAACCCUUACUGUCAGUUACUACGCAAGAGGACUCUGGCAGGACUGCCGUUGACAAAACGGAGGAAGGUGGGGAUGACGUCAAAUCAUCAUGCCCUUUAUGACUUGGGCUACACACGUACUACAAUGGCGUUAAACAAAGAGAAGCAAGACCGCGAGGUGGAGCAAAACUCAGAAACAACGUCCCAGUUCGGACUGCAGGCUGCAACCCGCCUGCGUGAAGCCGGAAUUGCUAGUAAUCGCGGAUCAGCAUGCCGCGGUGAAUACGAUCCCGGGCCUUGCACACACCGCCCGUCA